Molecule: ribosomal RNA, 401 nt
Filed under: bacterium
Lineage: Bacteria
Description: partial 16S ribosomal RNA
Rfam family: Bacterial small subunit ribosomal RNA
Source: RNAcentral
UGGGGAAUUUUGCACAAUGGGGGAAACCCUGAUGCAGCGACGCCGCGUGAUUUAGAAGGCCUUCGGGUUGUAAAAAUCUUUUCUAUGGGAAGAAAAUGACAGUACCAUAGGAAUAAGGACCGGCUAAUUACGUGCCAGCAGCCGCGGUAAUACGUAAGGUCCGAGCGUUGUCCGGAAUCAUUGGGCGUAAAGGGUACGUAGGCGGGUAAGCAAGUUAGAAGUGAAAUCCUAUAGCUAAACUAUAGUAAGCUUUUAAAACUGCUCAUCUUGAGGUAUGGAAGGAAAAGUGAAAUUCCUAGUGUAGCGGUGAAAUGAGCAGUUAUUAGGAGGAAUACCGUUGGCGAAGGCAACUUCCUGGCCAUAACCUGACGCUGGGGUACGAAAGCUUGGGUAGCAAACAG